RNAcentral lists this unclassified non-coding RNA (219 nucleotides) under uncultured Tomentella. RNAcentral's name for it is "sequence contains ITS2". The record is from RNAcentral. Lineage: Eukaryota; Fungi; Basidiomycota; Agaricomycetes; Thelephorales; Thelephoraceae.
ACACCUCAACUCUCAUGGUCUUCCGUGACGAGCUUGGACUUUGGGGGUUUGCUGGCCCUGCGGCCGGCUCCUCUCAAACAAAUCAGCUUGCCAGUGUUUGGCGGCAUCUCACGGGUGUGAUAACUAUCUACGCUCGCGGCUGUCUGCCAGGUAACCCUCAGCGAUGAAGGUUCAUUGGGGCUCAUAAACGUCUCUCCUCGGCGAGGACAACUUUUGAAC